RNAcentral lists this ribosomal RNA (402 nucleotides) under uncultured Sphingomonas sp. Its description in RNAcentral is "bacterial SSU rRNA". It matches the Rfam family "Bacterial small subunit ribosomal RNA", at positions 355 to 774 of the family's 1533-position model. Lineage: Bacteria; Pseudomonadati; Pseudomonadota; Alphaproteobacteria; Sphingomonadales; Sphingomonadaceae. The record is from RNAcentral.
UGGGGAAUAUUGGACAAUGGGCGAAAGCCUGAUCCAGCAAUGCCGCGUGAGUGAUGAAGGCCUUAGGGUUGUAAAGCUCUUUUACCCGGGAUGAUAAUGACAGUACCGGGAGAAUAAGCCCCGGCUAACUCCGUGCCAGCAGCCGCGGUAAUACGGAGGGGGCUAGCGUUGUUCGGAAUUACUGGGCGUAAAGCGCACGUAGGCGGCUUUGUAAGUUAGAGGUGAAAGCCCGGAGCUCAACUCCGGAAUUGCCUUUAAGACUGCAUCGCUUGAAUCAUGGAGAGGUGAGUGGAAUUCCGAGUGUAGAGGUGAAAUUCGUAGAUAUUCGGAAGAACACCAGUGGCGAAGGCGACUCACUGGACAUGUAUUGACGCUGAGGUGCGAAAGCGUGGGGAGCAAACA